Molecule: long non-coding RNA, 1091 nt
Organism: Mastomys coucha (southern multimammate mouse)
Lineage: Eukaryota; Metazoa; Chordata; Mammalia; Rodentia; Muridae
Exons: 3
Source: RefSeq, a predicted model, not a curated record
GAGGCUGUCAUCUCCUCGGGUCUAAGACCCUAGCGGAGCCUUUCGCUCCCCCAACACCCUGCGAGAAGCUGGGCUUUUGAGGGGAAACCUCCAAGUCCCUAGAGGGGUCUCAGGGGGCCACAGGCAGGCUCCCUGCUACUCAUACCGUCCCCAGACGCCUCCCUCUGUUCAGUUCCUGCGGGAGGGGACCGGCAGCUAGGCUGUGGCAGGUUUCUGACAUUUUUUUUUUCCUUCUUAGAAAUGGAAACCCUCCUUCCGGCAACGUGGCAGGAAAGCGAAGUCCCCUGGCGGUCGACCCAGGCCAAGGACAUUUCCGUGGUAGCAGGGUGUUUCUCUCUCAUCAUAUGGAACCUGUGUGCAAUGGAAGCAUCCUGGAAACGAAAGAAAAGAAGGCAAGAAAAGCCUGGACUGCUUCUGAAGCCAGCAACAAUCUCCAUGCUUUUCUCCCGGCUCCGUUGUCUCCUCCCUCCCCCUUUGGCUGCACAGUCGGCUAUCUGUACCACAGAACUCACUACAAGGCUCCAGGACACUGUGUUUCUGGGUGUCCUACUUCUCAGUUUGGAACCUCUUAGCCCGGAGUCCCAUCUGCAUCCCACACUCCCAUUAUAGCCAUCUUGUGAGUGCUCAUGGUUGUGACUUGGUAUUCACAUGUUGGGGCUCCAUGAUCUAUAUAUAAGCCAGAAUAGGAUCCAAAGCUGAACUCAGUUCUUCAAACCUAGCCUUCUGUACUUUUUAACGAGCCCAGCAGAAGAACAUGUACUGUCUUCUUAUCACACAGUCCGAAUCUAGCACUGUGGAGGCAGAUGCUAAACACUGGAAAGAAACUAAUUGGUUGGAGACAGAACAGCCCAGAAACAAGGAGCUUAUUUAGAUUUGCCCAGAAGUGACAGACAGCACAGCCAAUCAGAAAUCUCUGGGCAUGCAGGGACAUGCCUGUAGUCUCAGCAUGUGGAUAUAGUGAGGCAGGCAGGAGGAUUUAGAGUUCAAGGCUAGCCUGGACUACAAGGACUAUAUAUCUCAAUGAACUUACCCACCCACCCACCAACCAACCAACAAACAAACAAUAAAUAACCAAAAAUCCAUUUACUAGA